Molecule: ribosomal RNA, 440 nt
Filed under: uncultured bacterium
Lineage: Bacteria
Description: partial 16S ribosomal RNA
Rfam family: Bacterial small subunit ribosomal RNA
Source: RNAcentral
CCUACGGGAGGCAGCAGUGAGGAAUAUUGGUCAAUGGACGCAAGUCUGAACCAGCCAUGCCGCGUGGAGGAUGAAGGUUUUCGGAUUGUAAACUCCUUUUGUUAGAGAAGAUAAUGACGGUAUCUAACGAAUAAGCACCGGCUAACUCCGUGCCAGCAGCCGCGGUAAUACGUAGGGUGCGAGCGUUAAUCGGAAUUACUGGGCGUAAAGGGUGCGCAGGCGGUUGAGUAAGACAGAUGUGAAAUCCCCGAGCUUAACUCGGGAAUGGCAUAUGUGACUGCUCGACUAGAGUGUGUCAGAGGGAGGUGGAAUUCCACGUGUAGCAGUGAAAUGCGUAGAUAUGUGGAAGAACAUCGAUGGCGAAGGCAGCCUCCUGGGACAUAACUGACGCUCAGGCACGAAAGCGUGGGGAGCAAACAGGAUUAGAUACCCUAGUAGUC